AGUGAACGCUGGCGGUAGGCCUAACACAUGCAAGUCGAACGGCAGCACAGUAAGAGCUUGCUCUUACGGGUGGCGAGUGGCGGACGGGUGAGGAAUACAUCGGAAUCUACUUUUUCGUGGGGGAUAACGUAGGGAAACUUACGCUAAUACCGCAUACGACCUACGGGUGACAGCAGGGGAUCUUCGGACCUUGCGCUAUUGAAUGAGCCGAUGUCGGAUUAGCUAGUUGGCGGGGUAAAGGCCCACCAAGGCGACGAUCCGUAGCUGGUCUGAGAGGAUGAUCAGCCACACUGGAACUGAGACACGGUCCAGACUCCUACGGGAGGCAGCAGUGGGGAAUAUUGGACAAUGGGCGCAAGCCUGAUCCAGCCAUACCGCGUGGGUGAAGAAGGCAUUCGGGUUGUAAAGCCCUUUUGUUGGGAAAGAAAAGCAGCAGGUUAAUACCCCGCUGUUCUGACGGUACCCAAAGAAUAAGCACCGGCUAACUUAGUG
This 492-nucleotide ribosomal RNA is filed under the name uncultured bacterium. RNAcentral describes it as "partial 16S ribosomal RNA". It matches the Rfam family "Bacterial small subunit ribosomal RNA", at positions 29 to 507 of the family's 1533-position model. The record is from RNAcentral.